GUUCUUGUAGUUGAAUAACAACGAUGGUCUUUCAAGCCAUAGGUUCUGGUUAAAUUCCUGGCAAGAAUU
Molecule: transfer RNA, 69 nt
Filed under: Scatophagus argus
Lineage: Eukaryota; Metazoa; Chordata; Actinopteri; Scatophagidae
Description: tRNA-Glu
Rfam family: tRNA
About the family: Transfer RNA (tRNA) molecules are approximately 80 nucleotides in length. Their secondary structure includes four short double-helical elements and three loops (D, anti-codon, and T loops). Further hydrogen bonds mediate the characteristic L-shaped molecular structure. tRNAs have two regions of fundamental functional importance: the anti-codon, which is responsible for specific mRNA codon recognition, and the 3' end, to which the tRNAs corresponding amino acid is attached (by aminoacyl-tRNA synthetases). tRNAs cope with the degeneracy of the genetic code in two manners: having more than one tRNA (with a specific anti-codon) for a particular amino acid; and 'wobble' base-pairing, i.e. permitting non-standard base-pairing at the 3rd anti-codon position.
Source: RNAcentral